GCAUCCAGGGUAUAGUGGAGAGUGAUCCCAGACAGUCUAUUAUGUAAGUAAAGACAUACAUUCCUCCAUGGUAUGUGAGUUUAGAAACUCCUCGCAGUGGUAGGUGUUGUUGAUUCACCGGUAUGACCAUAUUCACCAGUAUGACAAUAUUCACCAGUAUGACAUUAUUCAGCGGUAUGACAAUAUUCACUGGUAUGACAUUAUUCACCGGUAUGACAAUAUUUACCAGUAUGACAAUAUUUACCAGUAUGACAAUAUUCACUGGUAUGACAAUAUUCACUGGUAUGACAACAUUCACUGGUAUGACAAUAUUCAACAGUAUGACAAUAUGAUGAAUACUGAUGCUUAUUCAGUUCUACUGAGGUAAUGACAAAGACAUUGCUGAAGGGGGGUCAGCAGGUGCAACUGUGCAGUUAGAGGAGGCAGGUCAAAGGUGUGUGAAACUAAUUAAUGCUAAUAGGAAGAAUUGUUUACUUAAUCUGUCAACUGUAGUUUUCAGGUAUACUUUCUGCUAUAAAACUUAAUACUGAUAUGAACAAUAUUUAUUUAAUUUAAAUGUAUCAAGUAAAAAUAAUUAUCCAACUUCUUUGCAUUUCUUUUGUGGUUGAGUAUGUAUGAUGUUAAUUUCAAAUUCAAAUAUUAUGAAGUCAAAAUAUUUUAAGGAGGGGAAAGUCAAGAAUAAACCAAAGAUAACCAAAAGUUAAAGUUGUAAAUAUAUUGAUGCAUAUUUCACCUCACGUGUAAUCACACUAUGAACCACUGUACAACACUAGCAGCAUAAUGUCACUCGCUUGUAUGAAGUCAUGGACUAUGUUCAUCAAAUUAAAUUUCAAAUAUUUAGAAUUCAAGUACAUAGUAAAGAGAAGGGGUAUUAAGAAUCAAAUGUAAUUUUUCAAACAAUUUGGUGUUGGUGGAUAUUAACUGUUGACACUGAUGGUGCACAGAAAGCAUUCCUUGUCCUCUUAGAAAGGUGAGGUUACAUUCCUUAAGCUCUUAGCAGGGUGAGAUCACAUUCCUUCUGCUCUUAGCUGGGUGAGAUCACAUUCCUUCUGCUCUUAGAACGGUGAAGUAACAUUCCUUGUCCUCUUAGAAGGGUGAGGUUACAUUCCUUAAGCUCUUAGCAGGGUGAGAUCACAUUCCUUCUGCUCUUAGCUGGGUGAGAUCGCAUUCCUUAUGCUCUUAGAACGGUGAAGUCACAUUCUUUAUGCUCUUAGAAGGGUGAGGUCACAUUCUUUGUGCUAUUAAAAGGGUGAGAUCACAUUCCUUAUCCCCUUAGAAGGGUGAGAUCUCAUUCCUUAUGCUCUUGGAAGGGUGAGGUCACAUUCAAUAAACAAGAAGUUGCCAUCCAUAUACUCAUCUUAUAUAGGCCCACAUAGCUGGAAUAUUGCUGAAUGCGGUGUUAAACAACCAACCAACCAACCAACCAACCAACCAUCAAGGCAGGGUUAGAAGAAAGUUCAUGUGUCAUGCGCUGGUAGGACAGAGCUACAGAUAACGUUUUGGGUCAUUGAGUUAUGUAACCGCUUGUGUUCAUCUCAGUUCGGUAUCCUAAUUUUCCUUUGAGUAACCAAAUAUAUUGCACCCACCUCACUCAAACUCA
This is a long non-coding RNA of Haliotis rubra (blacklip abalone), 1600 nucleotides long. RefSeq lists it as uncharacterized. The transcript is spliced from 3 exons. The record is from RefSeq and is a predicted model, not a curated record. NCBI's taxonomy places the organism in Eukaryota, Metazoa, Mollusca, Gastropoda, Lepetellida, Haliotidae.